AACUUUUUUAGGAAGGCUCUUAAGUCUCUUGAAGAAAUAGAGCCACACGUGCAGAAGGUCACUGAACAGCAGCACAUUGAUUAUCGCUUCAGUGGACUUGAAGAUGAUGAUGGGGACAAUGGUGAUGAUAAUGAAAAUUAUGAAAACGAUGAUGACGAUUACUAUAGUGAUGAUUAUGAUGACAAGGAUGAUGGUGAGCUGAGCUUUGACUAUGGAUUGGAUGAUCAAGAUCAGAACAUGGUUCCUACUUCACGGCACUCAAUGGAGGUGAUUAUUUAACAUGUUAUUUGUGGAUAAGAAAAGCUAACCAACUUCCCUGCUGAAGUGCAAUUGUUAUUUUUCUUUUGUGUUUGUGUGUAGAAUGGAUUCCAUUCUCCUGAUUGUUAUAAAGACUUCUCUAUGGACCUCACACAGGAACAAGAAAAUAUGAUUUAAUUCUAUUUGUGCCUCUAAAUGAAUUAAUUGUAGAACUGAUU
RNAcentral lists this long non-coding RNA (476 nucleotides) under Gossypium barbadense (sea-island cotton). RNAcentral describes it as "long non-coding RNA (GBAR_LNC002667)". The record is from RNAcentral. Lineage: Eukaryota; Viridiplantae; Streptophyta; Magnoliopsida; Malvales; Malvaceae.